AGAGUUUUGGCGGUUGAUUGUUGCAUGUGCGGGUGUUCUGUGUCGGUGUACAGUUGAUAAAAUCAUGUGAAAAGAACAAUUGUCCUUGGCGGCUGUUCAUUUCAUUUGAUCUCUAAAACUUGAUACGUAGAUUUCCAAGUGCUCGGAAAUGUUCUUCUGACUCAUCUCUCUUCGUUUUUCCCUUGGUGGAAUUUGGAACCAAAUACUAAAAAACCAAAGUGAAAUGAAGUAUUCGAUUAAAGCGUUGACGAAGAAAGUGGAUGAAAUGGAUACCAUGAUGAGAAUAAAAUAUUCACAAAUAACCAGCUCAUCUGGAUCCAUCAAUGACAGCAUGUUUGUUGAUAAACUGCCAUGCAGUAGCUCAGACGAUUCAAAUGCAUUGGACAGUUGCAUCAUGGACGAUCAAAUUUUUUCAGACUUGGUAUGGUACCCACUUACAGUAUAGUACAUUCAUAUAAGAAUAUGAACAAACUUUGUAGGUCAACUUUUUGUAUCUAGUAGGUGGAGAAACUGUCACUAAAACGAUAUAUAUGAUAAUGAAAAAAUUGAUAACAAAUACUCUUGCAACAAAUUACUCUGGUGUUGGCAAAAAGCACAAAUUGCCUUUUUGCAACUUAAAAAAACUUACAGUACAAUUUUAGGUAAAAUAUUAUAUUAAGAUCAAGCACAUUAAAUAAUAUUGUCUUUUGCAACGGCAUCAGACGAACAAAUUAAGAAAACUGUUUCGUUAUAGUUGGCCCAAAGCAAAAAUCGAAUUACACAUACAAAAGUUUAGUUUAAAUUUACUCUGAA
Molecule: long non-coding RNA, 792 nt
Organism: Zophobas morio
Lineage: Eukaryota; Metazoa; Arthropoda; Insecta; Coleoptera; Tenebrionidae
Exons: 3
Source: RefSeq, a predicted model, not a curated record